GUAAAAUUUCUUAAAGAUCCAUUUAAACUAAAGUUAGAGUGCGAAAACCAAUGUGUCUUCGGACGACGACGACGACGACGACGCCAACGUCAUACCAAUAUACGACCACAAAAAUGUUUUUGCGGUCGUAUAAAAAUACAAUAGUACUAAGUAUCCAGUACAAAAAAAAUAUUCGUAAGGGGUUUCGUGGAACCUUGUGUCUCGCCUGCGAUUGCUGCUGUCAGUGUAAAAGUGUAAUGUUGACUUAAAAAGUGAGUUUAUUUAUCAGUAAAAUACAGAAUUUAAAAAAAAACUUUUUCUUUAAAUGUUAUUUCUUGGUCUUGAAAAUUAGCUUCUGUCAAUGUUUCAUAACAAUCCAUGAAGGUUUACAAAUUUAUCAUGUCAAAAAAAUUAAUCCCAGACUCUUAAAAUUUACUUCCGACAUUAUCUCUAAAUCAUUAAAAAGCUUCUGCCAAAAUUUAAUAAACUUCUAUGAAGGUUUGACAAAGUCUAUAGGGGGGAGGGGGUCUCUUCCUAUAUGAAGGUAUAUACAUAUGUGCCGCUGGAUUGGGUCCCUUUUUUGAUACGUCAAAUAUAUCAAUGGGGUGCAAUUUUACCGAGGAAAUAUAUCAAUAGGUAGUAAUUGACCAAUUGUGAUAUAUCAAUGGGUCAUAAUUUUUCAGUUUGUUGUGCAACAAUAUUAAUCUUCACUGAAUUUCCCAAACUCUUUGUCAUUAAAAUUUCCACAUCUGCUGAAACUUAUUGACAUAAGUUUUGUUAUUGAUCAAAUUUUAUUACACUGUCACAAUUAAUAAUCUUUACCCACUAGAGUAUAGUAAAAAAAAGGUCACAUAUCAGACCUUUUGGUACUAUUUGAGCUGAUAAAUAUAUAUGAAUGGGUUAUGAUUUCGCUGUGAAAUAUAUGUAUAGGUAGGGAUUUCACAAUUAUUCAAUAUAUGAAUGGGGGUGUUUUUUAAAUCCCAGCUGCACAACUGUACCUAAAAUACCAUGUUGAGACCCCCCUGUGGACAAAGUAAUUGAUGUGUAACAAACUUUAACCCCAGACUGUAUCUACUUGUUUACUCUAAA
Molecule: long non-coding RNA, 1068 nt
Organism: Mytilus californianus (California mussel)
Lineage: Eukaryota; Metazoa; Mollusca; Bivalvia; Mytilida; Mytilidae
Exons: 2
Source: RefSeq, a predicted model, not a curated record